UAUCACAAAACCAGUCAUUUCAUGGAAUGACUGAAAUUUUCAGUCAUUUUUUAAAAUGACUCCUUCACUCACUGAUUUGGCAAAAUGACUAAAAGUUUCAUGCGUUUUAUGAAAUGACUGACGUGCUGGAUAUUCUGCUACACUAUUUGACUGUUUCAUUCGGUAACAGGCAUAUUGUGAAAAAGGAGUUGCUGGAGAAGGAUCCUUUGCUUUUUUUCUGCAGUCACUGCUGAAGAAGGCUCUGAAUUUUGAAAGUAGCUUCAGGAAAGAACUUUACAAAAAGUAUAGGAAGUUCCCAACUACCUGAUACUUAAGGAAUAAUGCUGUGCAACUACUGCUGAGAUCUAAAAUGCAAGCCGAGAUCCCAAAUCAAUGCCCAGAUAGAGUACUACCUGCUUGCCAGAGAUAUGAAAUUCUACACUGUCGUGACAAUAUUUCUAAUCAAGAAAUGUUGGACUAAAGAAGCAUCUCCCAUAUUCUAUGUUAGAGCAGCAGGGCGCGGGAGUGCAGUUCAUCAAAGCCAUUGUAUUGAUGCUGAUGCAUAAACUGUCUGGCAUGGGAUACCACGGAGUAACAAAGAAGAAUGAACACUGAGAGAUACAGAAGAUAGAAGAGACAUGAUGGAUAGUGUUGA
This is a long non-coding RNA of Lagopus muta (rock ptarmigan), 634 nucleotides long. RefSeq lists it as uncharacterized. Lineage: Eukaryota; Metazoa; Chordata; Aves; Galliformes; Phasianidae. The record is from RefSeq and is a predicted model, not a curated record. The transcript has 4 exons.